AUGAUAAGUAUGGAAUUCAGAGAUUUUUUUUCUUCCAUUUUUUUCUAUAAAGAAAUUCAAGACCAAAGAAUUUUAAUGAUGCGUGGAAAGUUAGUGCCUUCUUUAGGGAAGGGAUAUCUGUUUUCUCCAUCAUCAAAUCUCCAGUACCCAGCAAAUUACAUAGAACAUGAAGCUGCCAGUGCUGGUCCCACAAGUAGCAACCCAGAUCCUGAAGGCAUCUUUCCUGGAAGUUUUACUAAAAGAUGAUCCAAACACCUAACUAUACUGAUUUAAAACAGCACCACCAAUAACAACAACAAACCUAAGGCCCAGAGGUCAGAACUAUUACAAAUAUAAUGUCAUAUCCAUAAACUCCUAAAUCUUAAUGCCUCAUGCUGCACUUAUAUAAUCAGUGGGGUGGGGGGAAAGGGGAAAAAUGAUGAAGAGAAAAAACAGUACACAGAUAUUCAACUCUGAGUUUUCUGGGUUAAAGAUGAGAAAUAAACAUUAAUUGAAAACUAUGCGCGCAUCAUAAGGAAGGGUUUAUAAUUUUGACAUAUGGAGGAGGCAAAAGUAGGUAAAGAGUGAGUUGGAAAACUGAGACCAAAAUGGACAUUAUACUGAAGUGCUAUAUUUCACUGUCCGACAUUUGCAGGUGCUUAGUAAAUAUUUAUUUUUUCUGGUCAACUGCUUUCCUCAUUUUCUUCCUUUAUAAUCCAAGAGACUUUUAUAAUAUUCUCUAGGGAAAGUGGAGCGAACUCAGACUGAGUAUAGAUAAGCCCACAUUUAUAGCCUACUUCUUAGUGUUUCUAAAUCUCAUAUCCUUGGGUUUAAACAUAAUAUGUAUUUUAUGAAGUUGUUGAAUAAAGCUAAUGCAUGAAAAGAAAUUGGCACAUAAAAGGCAAUGAGGAAAGGUUGCUGUUUCAUAGUAGGAGGAGGAAGAAGGGGAGGAACAAGAGGAAUAAUGGUAGUAGAUGGGCUCAGAUGAAAAUUUCUUAGAGCAGCAGAGUGUUAACACCUACAGAUUUGAGCAUAAAGAGUCACGGUGAAGUGAUGGAAAGGAUUCAAGAAUAAGAAGUGAAUUUGUACUAGAUAUCACCUUAUUACCUUCACUGUCCUAAAACUCUGUAAUCUUACAUAUGUGAAUAUGUUGAAGUCAAUCAAUCAGGAAAUUAUUUUCAUUUUCAAAAUUAAUCAGGGCCAGUUGUGUCACUGGUCUAGAAUCUCACAGUUAAUUUUUAAAAGUAAUACUUCAAAAAGUUAACUAAGCCAGAGGUGGUGGCUUAUGCCCGUAAUCUCGGCACUUUGGGAGGUGAGGCGGGUAGAUUGCUGGAGCUCAGGAGUUUGAGACCACCCUGGGCAACAUGGCAAAAUUCCGUAUCUACAAAAAAUACAGAAAUUAGCCAGGCAUAGUAAUGGUGUGCACCGGUAGUCCCAGCUACUUGGGAGGUAUUGGUGGGAGGAUGGCUUGAGCUCAGGAGGUGGAAGUUGCAGUAAGCCAGGAUCAAGCGACUACACUCCCGCCCGGGUGACAGCUAGAACCUGUCUCAAAAAAAAAAAAAAAAAACAACUAAAAAUGGAUCAUAGACAUAAAUGUAAAAUACUCUAUAAAACUCCUAGAGGUUAGCAUAGGAAAAAGCCUAGAUGACCUUAGAUAGGGUGGUGACUUUUUAGAUACAACACAAAAGACACAACCCAUGAAAGAAAUAAUUGAUAAGCUUGACUUCAUUAAAAUUAA
Long non-coding RNA from Papio anubis (olive baboon), 1717 nucleotides. The record is from Ensembl. Lineage: Eukaryota; Metazoa; Chordata; Mammalia; Primates; Cercopithecidae.